AUAGCGGCAAACGGGUGAGUAACACGUAAAUAAUCUUCCCUAAAGUCAGGCAUAGUAUCGUGAAAACGGUAGUAAUUCCUGAUAUGGUCUUAGUAUCGCAUGGUAUUAAGAUUAAAGGUGGGGACCUCUUCGGGGGCCUACCACUUUGGGAUGAGUUUGCGGCCUAUCAGCUUGUUGGUGGGGUAACGGCCUACCAAGGCGUAUGACGGGUAGCUGGUCUGAGAGGAUGGUCAGCCACACUGGGACUGAGACACUGCCCAGACUCCUACGGGAGGCUGCGGUCGAGAAUCUUUAGCAAUGGACGAAAGUCUGACUAUGCGACGCCGCGUGCAGGACGAAGGCCUUCGGGUUGUAAACUGCUUUUGUUAGGAAAGAAACCUUAAACUCUAACAUAGUUUAAGCUGACGGUACCUAGCGAAUAAGCCACGGCCAACUCCGUGCCAGCAGCCGCGGUAAUACGGAGGUGGCAAGCGUUACUCGGAAUUAUUGGGUGUAAAGGGUAGGUAGGCGGUCUUGUAAGUGAGGGGUGAAAUCUUCCGGCUCAAUCGGAAAACUGCCUUUCAAACUGCUUGACUUGAGAUCGGAAGGGGGAAACGGAAUUAGCAGUGUAAGGGUGA
This 617-nucleotide ribosomal RNA is filed under the name uncultured bacterium. RNAcentral describes it as "bacterial SSU rRNA". It matches the Rfam family "Bacterial small subunit ribosomal RNA", at positions 92 to 684 of the family's 1533-position model. The record is from RNAcentral.